GGUAGAGGAUCUGGUUCCCUCCCUGACGGCCUCCGCCUUCUCCCUCUCGCCCAGAGCAGGGCGGCCGGCGCGCCCCCCCUCUUCUCCCCACCCGACGCUGGUGCCGGCCGCCCGAGCACCUCCCCGUCCGCCCGCGCCUCGAGCCGCCGCCGGUGCUCCUCCUGUCGCCCUCCCCGCUCACCUCCGGCGCAGCUCGUUGUAGUGAAGAGCUAUUAUUUGGCGGCGGCAAGGAGAAGGGCGCCGAGGAGGUGACGCCGGCCGGCGUCGUGCCUCCCUGCAUCGUCGCCUCCGACCUCACCAUGUAGCUCCUGUGACGAGUAAUGGGGAUGGAAAAUUAUCAACAAUGGGGUGUGCAUUCGCUGCUGUUACGGUGUUUUCUUUGACGCUGCCGCUCCUGGAGCACCAGCUCGAUUUUUUCUCAUACUGCUGUUCCCCGAGCACCAGCACAAGGCGAAAUUUUUGCAGGCCGUCUUGUUCAACACCCGCAGGUGAGCGCUCAGGCCUGGGUUUGUAUUGUUCUCGGCUUGAGUAUAUGGGACUCGAACUGUGAUGGAUAUCAUGUGAGGAAAGAAGGUUUAGUAUGCAAUUAUGGUGUACACCAGAGAAACAUGUGUGUUUUUCCCUAUGAAGACAUCUACUUCUUCAGAUAAUUGAUGUUUCUGUACUAACCAUCAUCAAAUAAGGUGAGAGUACUUUAGGGUUGAGUAAAUGUUUCAGUUGGAUGUUGAAUUACCCCAUCAAGAGAAGCUGAACAAAGAAGAGUGUUGUGGUGUUGGCAAAGUCAAAUUUCGCGGCGCCUGCUUCAAACCACACUGGCACCUCUACAGCCAUUUUUGGGAAAUCAAGCGUCCGCACUAUGGUUUCUAUAAAACUGAGAGGAUAUUCAUUUUACCGGCGCUGGCAAGGAGGUCAAGAAGGGAGCAACUUCCAUUGGUUCCAAGGAUGCCGGCGACCCCUGCCAUGGCAAACCGGCAGUGGACGAGCUCGGCCUGGACGUACCACUUCAAGGCCUCAGGCUGCUCCCCGAGCCCCAAGGGACCAAACCCGUAAUCGCCAGGCAGCCUGCAUCCAGAAGCGCCAAGCUAUCCAUCAGCCUAACAACGAACCAUCGCCGCCUGCAGAGAACACCGGCAGAGGUUGCCACAGUUGACUGACGUGCCGUCGAGGUACGCCGGUAGGUCCAGCCCAGACAGCCACGCGCUCCGCGGUGGCUCGGACGGCGAACCGGGCUCGUGACGACUGAACAUUGUGUCCAGGCAUGGUGGUCGUGCUCCUGCUGAAAGGUGUGGGUGGCCUGGAGGAGAGGGUGCAGACUCUUCCAUGGGUGUUAGCUGCUAACGCCAUGACCGCCGCCGUCGGAUUUGGCUGGUUGAUCCCUUGCUCGCCUGACCGCAGCUGGCGAGGGUCCUUCUUGGCUGCAGCUGUUUUGGUUGGGGCGUGUGGGUGGUGCAUCGGACGGAUCAAAAAGCCGUGGAUAUGGAACUAGAGGCGUUCGUACUUCGUAGCUCCAGUGGCUGUCAGAGUCUGCAGCUUGUGUUCUUUUUUGCUUUCCUGAGGGGAUGCAGCUUGUGUGCUGGCCGGAGUGUAUUGAACGGUUAUAAUGCAGCUACCGAACUAGGUAUGCCUAUUUGUGCUUAUGUGAUCUGCGGAAAUUUGCAUUCGUACUAUGAAUCGGCCAGCCUACCUACAACAUUCAGAUGUUGUAUCUGCUCGUUUGGAGAAUAGAGAUGUCUAUGGAACUUGGGAACAGUGUCUUGGGUUGGAGUGAACUGAUACUGCAAUAAAACGGCCUAUACAGCCUAUUAAGUAUGCAGUUGUCUUGCUGGGAGGUGAACAUAUCUAACUUUUGGAUGCCAAGUUUUACCUUUACCCAUGCUUGGGCUUAGAUAUGUCGUACCCAUGCUUCAGGUUCCCCUGAUUCAGGUAGAUCUUAUCUCCAAGGCAAUCUGGAUAGCUUAGCAGUUGAUGGUAGACUUUUCAUCGUUGGUUUCAUGUGAGGCACUGUAAUUAAAGUGAACCUGCAGGCGAUGCUUGCCCAAAGACCGACUGUACAAGCAUCUCGCACAAUGUAUCCAGAGAGAUGCUGCCACUGGUGAUACAUCUGUGCGAAGCCAGAUCCAGAAUGAGUCGACAGAGUUGGGAGUAGCGAUACAACAUCUGGAGGCUAUGCUUUUUGAGCUUGGACGGACAAUGAUGACGCUUAGAAUGGGGCCAUCUCCUGUAUGCAUUUUUCUACUAUGUCACUAUCACACAAGUGAUUCACAAGGUUUAAGUAUUCUGAUAGCUUUUUUAUUUUGUAGGCUAAUGCUUUUGUAAAUGCUAGGCAUGCUGUUUAUACAAACCCCACUGGACCAAGUCCAAUCAUGGUUCAGGCUACCUGUAUAGCUUUGCUUUCCUAUCAUGAACUGCUGUCAACUUUGUUUUGGGCUAUCAUGCUAGCAUGCACUGUAACAUGUAUCACUAUGUAUUAACAUGCUACCUAAGUAUCUAUUUCUUUAUACUUUAAGGAUCUUAUUAUCAGUCCUUAAACAAAUCUUACGUGCAUGAUUUGCAUGCUUGGUUUGUUGUCGCCCUUUGCACCAUCGGCGCAACGGGUGGUCAGCUGCUUUUUUAUGUGUGAGAAUGUCAGGAAUCUUUCUAUAUGUGCCCAGAUUUAUUUGGUGUGCCUGCUAUGUUUCACUUUCACUGCUCUUUGUAUAAAUUGAGAAAUUCUUGAUUCUUUUUAUGUUAUUUCUUUACAUGAAGGAUCCAGAUUAAAAUCUAAUGUGUUAUUCUUGCUGGCUUAGUUUAAACAAAUGCAUUUUAGAUCACCUACUUCUCAGUUCAUGCAUUUUGGAUCCAAAGCCUCCGUUAGAUUUUUGGAUGUGCUCUCUUAGGUAGGUUUUCUUUUCUCUUUCUUUCCUUCCUCUUGGGACUGUUAUUCUCUGUCUGUAUAUAUUUGCUUCGAUUGAAAUAAAGGACCAUGGGGCUUUUGCUCCAUGGUGGGUAGUGGAAAAAAACUAACAUGUAUUUGGUUUAAACUGCUUGAAGUUAACAAGGACCAAGUAACAUACUAUGUGCUUGCUCUGUUUGGUCGUGGCAUAUGAAUCUGAUUAGAUCAUCGUAGUUGAAUAAUUAGAAACCUUGGGGAGGAAUAUGAUGUGUGUUUUUGUUUCAGUUACAGAGACUUGGUCUCGUGUUAUGCCUCAUAAGGUCGAGGCAUGUGUUACGGAGGCUAGGAAGAUUAUUUUGCUGUUGUUGAUUAGUUUUUUUUUGAUAAUGCAAAAACACCUAUGUACUAAUAACCUAUAUACUAAUGUACUAACAAUCGUUUCCUUCUUUUCCAUUGCAGUAAGUAGAAGUUAUAUUUUUUCCCUGACCAUUCCUUUCUUUUCCUAGGCCAGCGAUUUGCUUUCCGCUCAGAUUACGCUGUCUGCAGACUGCAGCCUCCUAUUUGUGACGCCGUGGAACCUAAGGAUUUCCGGCGAUACGCAGUCAGUAGGAGGGGACGUUUUCAUCGAUGACGAGGUGCUUACGGUGACUUCAUAAUUUUCAAGAUGAUAUGUCGGCUCAGUCUUUCGGAGGUGUUCAUAGGGGUAGGGUGUGCGUGUGUGCGUUCAUAGGGAUGAGUAUAUGAGCGCUUGCGUCUGUACUGUGUUAAAAAAAACCUUUUGACCAUUUACUUGUUUAAACCGAAGCAUCAAAAGUACAAUUUGUUUGUACCAUUGUAUACCACAUGAUGAACUCUAGAAAUAGAGUAUAAUAGAGUAUAAUGCUGAAUAUAUUCUCUAUUAUUAAUAUUAUCAAUUCGUGAGACUCA
Long non-coding RNA from Triticum aestivum (bread wheat), 3799 nucleotides. RefSeq lists it as uncharacterized. The transcript is spliced from 9 exons. The record is from RefSeq and is a predicted model, not a curated record. Lineage: Eukaryota; Viridiplantae; Streptophyta; Magnoliopsida; Poales; Poaceae.